UACGUAGGGGGCAAGCGUUGUCCGGAUUUAUUGGGAGUAAAGAGUGUGUAGGCGGCUUGAGAGGUAUGAUGUGAAAACUCGAGGCUCAACCUCGAGAUGUCGGCGGAAACCGUCUGGCUAGAGUCCGGAAGAGGAGAGUGGAAUUCCUGGUGUAGCGGUGAAAUGCGCAGAUAUCAGGAAGAACACCUAUGGCGAAGGCAGCUCUCUGGGACGGUACUGACGCUGAGACGCGAAAGCGUGGGGAGCAAACAGG
This 253-nucleotide ribosomal RNA is filed under the name uncultured bacterium. RNAcentral's name for it is "partial 16S ribosomal RNA". It matches the Rfam family "Bacterial small subunit ribosomal RNA", at positions 524 to 776 of the family's 1533-position model. The record is from RNAcentral.